RNAcentral lists this ribosomal RNA (397 nucleotides) under uncultured bacterium. RNAcentral describes it as "bacterial SSU rRNA". It matches the Rfam family "Bacterial small subunit ribosomal RNA", at positions 29 to 406 of the family's 1533-position model. The record is from RNAcentral.
AACGAACGCUGGCGGCGUGCCUAACACAUGCAAGUCGUGCGAGAAAGUUCCUUCGGGAGCGAGUAAAGCGGCGCACGGGUGAGUAACACGUAGGUAACCUGCCCCCCAGUCUGGAACAACUAGAGGAAACUACUAGCUAAUGCCGGAUGAGACCACGAUCCCUUCGGGGGUUGGCGGCCAAAGAUGGCCUCUACUUGUAAGCUAUCGCUGAGGGAUGGGCCGUGCGGGCCAUUAGCUUGUUGGUGAGGUAACGGCUCACCAAGGCUGUGAUGGCUAGCUGGUCUGAGAGGAUGACCAGCCACACUGGGACUGAGACACGGCCCAGACUCCUACGGGAGGCAGCAGUGGGGAAUAUUGCGCAAUGGGCGAAAGCCUGACGCAGCGACGCCGCGUGGGU